CCACGAUGAACGCGCCGCGCGCCUAGAAUCUCGGUCGCGCUCAGCCAUUUGCUUCGUGAGGACCUACGUGCGACAACGUGACAGCGUUCCUGAGGCAGCUCGUGCACUUCGGGUCUCGUCGCGCUGCUCUUGGUUAACCGUCAAGUUCACCGGAACAAACCACCUCGGUGACAGUCCUCUGGGAAGCCUAAUCUGUGCGCCACGAAGUGCGUCUGUUUCGCAGCCGAGGAUCCACUUCAGCGCACCUGGGGCGAGACAGGCGGACUGACAGUGCUUACUUGGCCGGCGGUGCCUCUGGAAUGGCAGCGACCCACGGAAAGGUAGCAUCCUCUCAAUUGGCUGCUGCUCCGGGAGUGGACGCGGUAGCCCCGGAAUUAGUUGCAGGGCCUGGUCCUCACUGGGCUGCACACCCGGGAUUGGCUGUGGUCUUGGCACUGUCUGGGACCUUGAGACUGGCAGGAACCUCUGGACAGACAGCGACCCCUUGAGAGCGAGCCACCCCCGGACGGAUGAGGCUCUGGUACGGCGGAGGUCAGAAAAUUGGCGUCGACACCAAAGGGGCCAAUGGCGCCUCCUGGAGCAGCUGUUUGUUG
Long non-coding RNA from Dermacentor silvarum, 593 nucleotides. RefSeq lists it as uncharacterized. The record is from RefSeq and is a predicted model, not a curated record. The transcript is spliced from 3 exons. NCBI's taxonomy places the organism in Eukaryota, Metazoa, Arthropoda, Arachnida, Ixodida, Ixodidae.